This 493-nucleotide ribosomal RNA is filed under the name uncultured bacterium. Its description in RNAcentral is "partial 16S ribosomal RNA". It matches the Rfam family "Bacterial small subunit ribosomal RNA", at positions 27 to 507 of the family's 1533-position model. The record is from RNAcentral.
GAGUGAACGCUGGCGGUAGGCCUAACACAUGCAAGUCGAACAGCAGCACAGUAAGAGCUUGCUCUUACGGGUGGCGAGUGGCGGACGGGUGAGGAAUACAUCGGAAUCUACUUUUUCGUGGGGGAUAACGUAGGGAAACUUACGCUAAUACCGCAUACGACCUUCCGGUGAAAGCAGGGGAUCUUCGGACCUUGCGCGAUUGAAUGAGCCGAUGUCGGAUUAGCUAGUUGGCGGGGUAAAGGCCCACCAAGGCGACGAUCCGUAGCUGGUCUGAGAGGAUGAUCAGCCACACUGGAACUGAGACACGGUCCAGACUCCUACGGGAGGCAGCAGUGGGGAAUAUUGGACAAUGGGCGCAAGCCUGAUCCAGCCAUACCGCGUGGGUGAAGAAGGCCUUCGGGUUGUAAAGCCCUUUUGUUGGGAAAGAAAAGCAGCAGGUUAAUACCCCGCUGUUCUGACGGUACCCAAAGAAUAAGCACCGGCUAACUUCGUG